AUGUAUACACACACACACACCCAUCAUAUAUAUAUACACACACACACCCAUCAUAUAUAUAUACACACACACCCAUCAUAUAUAUAUAUACACACACACAUCAUAUAUAUAUAUAAAAACACACCCAUCUUACAUAUAUACACACACACCCAUCAUAUAUAUACACACACACACCCAUCAUAUAUAUAUACACACACACCCAUCAUAUAUAUAUACACACACACACCCAUCAUAUAUAUAUACACACACACACACACCAUAUAUAUAUAUACACACACCCAUCAUAUAUAUAUAUACACACACACACCCAUCAUAUAUAUAUAUACACACACACCCAUCAUAUAUAUAUAUACACACACACACCCAUCACAUAUAUAUAUACACACACACACCCAUCAUACAUAUAUAUACACACACACCCAUCAUAUAUAUACACACACACACACCCAUCAUAUAUAUACACACACACACCCAUCAUAUAUAUAUACACACACCCAUCAUAUAUAUAUACACACACACCCAUCAUAUAUAUAUAUACACACACACACCCAUCAUAUAUAUAUAUACACACACACACCCAUCAUAUAUAUAUACACACAUACCCAUCAUAUAUAUAUAUACACACACCCAUCAUAUACAUAUACACACACACACACAGCCAUCAUAUAUAUAUACACACACACACCCAUUAUAUAUAUAUACACACACACCCAUCAUAUAUAUAUAUAUAUGCACACACACCCAUCAUAUAUAUAUAUAUACACACACACCCAUCAUAUAUAUACACACACACACCCAUCAUAUAUAUAUACACACACACACCCAUCAUAUAUAUAUAUACACACACCCAUCAUAUAUAUAUAUAUACACACACCCAUCAUAUAUAUACACACACACACACCCAUCAUAUAUAUAUACACAAACACCCAUCAUAUAUAUAUAUACACACACACCCAUCAUAUAUAUGUACACACACACCCAUCAUAUAUAUAUACUAACACACACUUCCAUCAUAUAUAUAUACACACACACCCAUCAUACACACACACUCCCAUCAUAUAUAUAUAUACACACACACCCAUCAUAUAUAUAUACACACACACACCCAUCAUAUAUAUAUACACACACACACACCCAUCAUAUAUAUAUACUAUAUACACACACCCAUCAUAUAUAUAUACACAUACACCCAUCAUAUAUAUAUAUACACACACACACCCAUCAUAUAUAUAUACACACACACCCAUUAUAUAUAUAUAUACACACACACCCAUCAUAUUUAUAUAUAUACACACACGCACCCAUCAUAUAUAUAUACACAAACCCAUCAUAUAUAUAUACACACACACCCAUCAUAUAUAUAUACACACACACCCAUCAUAUAUGUGUACACACACACACACCCAUCAUAUAUAUAUACACACACACCCAUCAUAUAUAUAUACACACACACACCCAUCAUAUACAUAUACACACACACCCAUCAUAUAUAUACACACACACACCCAUCACAUAUAUAUACACACACACCCAUCAUACAUAUAUACACACACACCCAUCAUAUAUAUAUACACACACACCCAUCAUAUAUAUAUACACACACACACACACCCAUUAUAUAUAUAUAUAUACACACACACACACACACAGACACAGAGUGGGAAUGCUGGGUCAUAUGGUGUCCUAGUUUUAAUUUUUUUAGGAAACUUCAUAAUAUUUUGUAUAAUAGUUGUACCAACUAUUGUGAAAAAUUAG
Callithrix jacchus (white-tufted-ear marmoset) is the source of this 1755-nucleotide long non-coding RNA. The record is from Ensembl. NCBI's taxonomy places the organism in Eukaryota, Metazoa, Chordata, Mammalia, Primates, Cebidae.